This is a long non-coding RNA of Poecilia latipinna (sailfin molly), 449 nucleotides long. RefSeq lists it as uncharacterized. The transcript is spliced from 2 exons. Lineage: Eukaryota; Metazoa; Chordata; Actinopteri; Cyprinodontiformes; Poeciliidae. The record is from RefSeq and is a predicted model, not a curated record.
GGAUGAAGUAAAUUUGCAGUGGAUUCAGUUUCUGCUUACUGUAAUGGCUCAGAAUCAUCUGAUGGACUGUCAGCUCUAUGAGUUUCACUACAUUAGUGAGGAAAAGACCUGGACUGAAGCUCAGCAGUACUGCAGAAAGAAACACACUGACCUGGUCACAGUGAUUAGUAUGACAGACAUGGAGAGACUCAAUAGUAAUUCACAAAGAGGCAUAAAGGAAGCUUGGAUUGGUCUCCGUGAUGAAACAAACGCACAGAGAUCAUGGCACUGGUCUCUGCCUGGAGUGGAGUUCAAUAAAAGUGAGACAAACUGGGAAACAAGUACAAAUGAACCAAAUAAUCUCGAAUCUGAAGGCCAAAACUGUGUGAUUAUAUGGAAAGAUUCCCCUCAUUUUCUCAAGUGGGGAGAUUUAUCCUGUAAUGAAAAGCAUAAUUUUAUCUGCUAUAGUG